RNAcentral lists this ribosomal RNA (1511 nucleotides) under metagenome. Its description in RNAcentral is "bacterial SSU rRNA". It matches the Rfam family "Bacterial small subunit ribosomal RNA". The record is from RNAcentral.
AGAGUUUGAUCCUGGCUCAGAACUAACGCUGGCGGCGUGCCUAACACAUGCAAGUCGAACGAGAAAAUCCCUUCGGGGAUUAGUAAAGUGGCGAACGGGUGAGUAACACGUGAGCAACUUACCCUUGAAAUCAGGAUAACUUCGCGAAAGCGGGGCUAAUACUGAAUAAUAUCUUCGGUUCACAAGAACUGAAGAUCAAAGGUGACCUCUAAAUUAUGUUGCCGUUCAAGGAUGGGCUCGCGGCCCAUUAGCUUGUUGGUAGGGUAACGGCCUACCAAGGCUACGAUGGGUAACCGGCCUGAGAGGGUGAACGGUCACACUGGAACUGAGACACGGUCCAGACUCCUACGGGAGGCAGCAGUGGGGAAUAUUGCGCAAUGGGGGAAACCCUGACGCAGCGACGCCGCGUGAGCGAUGAAGGUCUUCGGAUUGUAAAGCUCUGUCAGAUGGGAAGAAACGUUUGGAUCUCAAUAGGGUUCAUACUUGACGGUACCAUCAGAGGAAGCCCCGGCUAACUCCGUGCCAGCCGCGGUAAUACGGAGGGGGCAAGCGUUGUUCGGAAUUACUGGGCGUAAAGGGCACGUAGGCGGCCUGAAAAGUCAGGCGUGAAAUCCCAUGGCUUAACUAUGGAAUUGCGUUUGAUACUAUCGGGCUUGAGUACAGGAGAGGAGAGUGGAAUUCCUAGUGUAGCGGUGAAAUGCGCAGAUAUUAGGAGGAACACCAGUGGCGAAGGCGACUCUCUGGCCUGAUACUGACGCUGAGGUGCGAAAGCGUGGGGAGCGAACGGGAUUAGAUACCCCGGUAGUCCACGCUGUAAACGAUGGGUACUAGGUGUAGGGGGUAAUGAAACUUUCUGUGCCGAAGCUAACGCAUUAAGUACCCCGCCUGGGGAGUACGAUCGCAAGAUUGAAACUCAAAGGAAUUGACGGGGGCCCGCACAAGCGGUGGAGCAUGUGGUUUAAUUCGACGCAACGCGAAGAACCUUACCAGGGUUUGACAUGUAUCUGCUAUUCUGUGAAAGCAGAAGUUCCUUCGGGACGGAUACACAGGUGCUGCAUGGCUGUCGUCAGCUCGUGUCGUGAGAUGUUGGGUUAAGUCCCGCAACGAGCGCAACCCUCACCCUUAGUUACCAGCGGAUAAUGCCGGGGACUCUAAGGGAACUGCCUCGGUAACGGGGAGGAAGGUGGGGAUGACGUCAAGUCCUCAUGGCCUUUAUGCCCUGGGCUACACACGUGCUACAAUGGGUGGUACAAAGGGAAGCAAUACCGUGAGGUGGAGCGAAUCUCAGAAAACCAUCCCCAGUUCGGAUUGAAGUCUGCAACUCGACUUCAUGAAAUCGGAAUCGCUAGUAAUCGUGGAUCAGCACGCCAUGGUGAAUACGUUCCCGGGCCUUGUACACACCGCCCGUCACACCACGAAAGUCAGUUGUACUAGAAGUGGCUAAGCUAACCCUCACGGGAGGCAGGUCACUAAGGUAUGGUUGGCGAUUGGGGUGAAGUCGUAACAAGGUA